UGAACGCGAAGAACCUUACCUGGGUUUGACAUGCACAGGACGCCGGCAGAGAUGUCGGUUCCCUUGUGGUCUGUGUGCAGGUGGUGCAUGGCUGUAGACAGCUCGUGUCGUGAGAUGUUGGGUUAAGUCCCGCAACGAGCGCAACCCUUGUCUCAUGUUGCCAGCGGGUAAUGCCGGGGACUCGUGAGAGACUGCCGGGGUCAACUCGGAGGAAGGUGGGGAUGACGUCAAGUCAUCAUGCCCCUUAUGUCCAGGGCUUCACACAUGCUACAAUGGCCGGUACAAAGGGCUGCGAUGCCGUGAGGUGGAGCGAAUCCUUUCAAAGCCGGUCUCAGUUCGGAUCGGGGUCUGCAACUCGACCCCGUGAAGUCGGAGUCGAAAGUAAUCGCAGAUCAGCAACGCUGCGGUGAAUACGUUCCCGGGUCUUGUACACACGCA
RNAcentral lists this ribosomal RNA (438 nucleotides) under bacterium CPTAC18D. Its description in RNAcentral is "bacterial SSU rRNA". It matches the Rfam family "Bacterial small subunit ribosomal RNA", at positions 956 to 1394 of the family's 1533-position model. The record is from RNAcentral.